Molecule: ribosomal RNA, 503 nt
Filed under: Scapteriscus sp. MCJ-2002
Lineage: Eukaryota; Metazoa; Arthropoda; Insecta; Orthoptera; Gryllotalpidae
Description: partial 16S ribosomal RNA
Rfam family: Bacterial large subunit ribosomal RNA
Source: RNAcentral
UCAAAAACAUGGCUUUUAGGAAUAAAAUUAAAGGUCUGGACCUGUCCGCUGAUGAUUUGAAGGGCCGCGGUAUCUUGACCGUGCAAAGGUAGCAUAAUCAUUCGUCUUUUUAUUGGAGGCUGGAAUGAAGGGUUUGACGAAAUAUUAACUGUCUCAAUAAAUUAUAUUGAAUUUGACUUUUAAGUAAAAAGGCUUAAAUGUGAAUAGGGGACGAUAAGACCCUAUAGAACUUUAUAAUAAAGAUAUUAUGGAGAUAUUAAAUUAUUUUACUGGGGUGGUGGAGAAAGAGUUGAACUUUUGAAAAUUUAACACUUAUUGGUGAAUAAUGGAUCCAUUAUUAAUGAUUAUCAGAAAUAGUUACCUUAGGGAUAACAGCUUAAUUUUUUUUGAGAGAUCUUAUCAACAAAAAGGAUUGAGACCUCGAUGUUGGAUUAUGAUUAGGUUUAGAUGAAGAAGUUUAAAUUAUAAGUCUGUUCGACUUUUAAAUUCUUACAUGAUCUGAG